RNAcentral lists this ribosomal RNA (1439 nucleotides) under uncultured organism. RNAcentral's name for it is "SSU rRNA". It matches the Rfam family "Bacterial small subunit ribosomal RNA". The record is from RNAcentral.
UUUUACAGGCUUAACACAUGCAAGUCGAGGGGCAGCAUGGUCUUAGCUUGCUAAGGCCGAUGGCGACCGGCGCACGGGUGAGUAACGCGUAUCCAACCUGCCUUACACUCUUGGACAGCCUUCUGAAAGGGAGAUUAAUACAAGAUGUUAUCAUGAGUAAGCAUUUUCGCAUGAUUAAAGGUUUACCGGUGUAAGAUGGGGAUGCGUUCCAUUAGAUAGUAGGCGGGGUAACGGCCCACCUAGUCUUCGAUGGAUAGGGGUUCUGAGAGGAAGGUCCCCCACAUUGGAACUGAGACACGGUCCAAACUCCUACGGGAGGCAGCAGUGAGGAAUAUUGGUCAAUGGACGAGAGUCUGAACCAGCCAAGUAGCGUGAAGGAUGAAGGUUCUAUGGAUUGUAAACUUCUUUUAUACGGGAAUAAACGAAUCCACGUGUGGAUUUUUGCAUGUACCGUAUGAAUAAGGAUCGGCUAACUCCGUGCCAGCAGCCGCGGUAAUACGGAGGAUCCGAGCGUUAUCCGGAUUUAUUGGGUUUAAAGGGAGCGUAGAUGGGUUGUUAAGUUAGUUGUGAAAGUUUGCGGCUCAACCGUAAAAUUGCAAUUGAUACUGGCAGUCUUGAGUACAGUUGAGGUAGGCGGAAUUCGUGGUGUAGCGGUGAAAUGCUUAGAUAUCACGAAGAACUCCGAUUGCGAAGGCAGCUUACUAACCUGUAACUGACAUUGAUGCUCGAAAGUGUGGGUAUCAAACAGGAUUAGAUACCCUGGUAGUCCACACGGUAAACGAUGAAUACUCGCUGUAGGCGAUAUACAGUCUGCGGCCAAGCGAAAGCAUUAAGUAUUCCACCUGGGGAGUACGCCGGCAACGGUGAAACUCAAAGGAAUUGACGGGGGCCCGCACAAGCGGAGGGACAUGUGGUUUAAUUCGAUGAUACGCGAGGAACCUUACCCGGGCUUAAAUUGCAACCGAAUAUGGCGGAAACGCUAUAGCUAGCAAUAGCGGUUGUGAAAGUGCUGCAUGGUUGUCGUCAGCUCGUGCCGUGAGGUGUCGGCUUAAGUGCCAUAACGAGCGCAACCCUUGCCGAUAGUUACUAACAGGUCAUGCUGAGGACUCUGUCGGGACUGCCAUCGUAAGAUGUGAGGAAGGUGGGGAUGACGUCAAAUCAGCACGGCCCUUACGUCCGGGGCUACACACGUGUUACAAUGGGGGGUACAGAGGGCUGCUACCACGCAAGUGGAUGCCAAUCCCAAAAACCUCUCUCAGUUCGGAUUGAAGUCUGCAACCCGACUUCAUGAAGCUGGAUUCGCUAGUAAUCGCGCAUCAGCCACGGCGCGGUGAAUACGUUCCCGGGCCUUGUACACACCGCCCGUCAAGCCAUGGGAGCCGGGGGUACCUGAAGUGCGUAACCGCAAGGAGCGCCCUAGGGUAAAACUGGUGACUGGG